GAUCAUGGCUCAGGAUGAACGCUAGCUACAGGCUUAACACAUGCAAGUCGAGGGGAAACGACAUCGAAAGCUUGCUUUUGAUGGGCGUCGACCGGCGCACGGGUGAGUAACGCGUAUGCAACUUGCCUAUCAGAGGGGGAUAACCCGGCGAAAGUCGGACUAAUACCGCAUGAAGCAGGGAUCCCGCAUGGGAAUAUUUGCUAAAGAUUCAUCGCUGAUAGAUAGGCA
RNAcentral lists this ribosomal RNA (228 nucleotides) under uncultured bacterium. RNAcentral's name for it is "partial 16S ribosomal RNA". It matches the Rfam family "Bacterial small subunit ribosomal RNA", at positions 15 to 231 of the family's 1533-position model. The record is from RNAcentral.